AGAGUUUGAUCAUGGCUCAGAUUGAACGCUGGCGGCAGGCCUAACACAUGCAAGUCGAGCGGUAGAGAGAAGCUUGCUUCUCUUGAGAGCGGCGGACGGGUGAGUAAUGCCUAGGAAUCUGCCUGGUAGUGGGGGAUAACGUUCGGAAACGGACGCUAAUACCGCAUACGUCCUACGGGAGAAAGCAGGGGACCUUCGGGCCUUGCGCUAUCAGAUGAGCCUAGGUCGGAUUAGCUAGUUGGUGAGGUAAUGGCUCACCAAGGCGACGAUCCGUAACUGGUCUGAGAGGAUGAUCAGUCACACUGGAACUGAGACACGGUCCAGACUCCUACGGGAGGCAGCAGUGGGGAAUAUUGGACAAUGGGCGAAAGCCUGAUCCAGCCAUGCCGCGUGUGUGAAGAAGGUCUUCGGAUUGUAAAGCACUUUAAGUUGGGAGGAAGGGUUGUAGAUUAAUACUCUGCAAUUUUGACGUUACCGACAGAAUAAGCACCGGCUAACUCUGUGCCAGCAGCCGCGGUAAUACAGAGGGUGCAAGCGUGAAUCGGAAUUACUGGGCGUAAAGCGCGCGUAGGUGGUUUGUUAAGUUGGAUGUGAAAUCCCCGGGCUCAACCUGGGAACUGCAUUCAAAACUGACUGACUAGAGUAUGGUAGAGGGUGGUGGAAUUUCCUGUGUAGCGGUGAAAUGCGUAGAUAUAGGAAGGAACACCAGUGGCGAAGGCGACCACCUGGACUAAUACUGACACUGAGGUGCGAAAGCGUGGGGAGCAAACAGGAUUAGAUACCCUGGUAGUCC
This 793-nucleotide ribosomal RNA is filed under the name uncultured bacterium. Its description in RNAcentral is "bacterial SSU rRNA". It matches the Rfam family "Bacterial small subunit ribosomal RNA", at positions 8 to 796 of the family's 1533-position model. The record is from RNAcentral.